This is a long non-coding RNA of Drosophila subobscura, 1029 nucleotides long. RefSeq lists it as uncharacterized. NCBI's taxonomy places the organism in Eukaryota, Metazoa, Arthropoda, Insecta, Diptera, Drosophilidae. The record is from RefSeq and is a predicted model, not a curated record. The transcript is spliced from 4 exons.
GUCACACUGCUACAAAAGCUGCGGCGGCGUAGUUAGCAUUAUUGAAAAUAACAACUUAAAUAAACUAAUUCAGGCAUUGAAAACCCAAGUAAAACAAUAAACAGAAAUGGUGGAUGCCGCAACAUGUGAAUUACAUUACAAGAACAAGGCAAAAUCUAAUCGCGGGGAGGCCGCUGCGAGGCAUGCCGCUUGGUAGGAGAUUUGAAUGGCACGCAAAUGAGCGACCACGCGGAUCGACAGAGGCGUCAAAUGAACUGUGUGGACGAUGCACUUUGCUGGUCCACGAGGGAUGCCCAUGCCACAAUGUGCAGUUCGAGGAGUCCGAGAAGGAGAGCGACAUAGAGCAAGAUAUGCGCAUUAAUUACAGAUAGUUUAGCCAAUGAAAAUGCUGGCAGCAAUGCGAAGAAAGCCUGCAGCCCCUGGAAAUCUAUGUCUAAUCCACCAGAGUUGUUUGAGUUAGUUCCACAAGGAUUCUAACGUUUCGCAGAGAAAGUUGAUCUAUGCGUUCAAGAUAAAGCAGGUUUACGAAAAUCAACCUUACUUUGCUGGGAAGACGCUUUCUUUAAAAUCAAUUUGCCUGCUAUUUUUGGGAUACCCAGCAGACACUGGGCCUGUGUGAAUGUUUUGAGCUCGAAUGUAUGGCUGUGGCUGUAUGAUGGUUGAGCAAGGAUUCGUCAAUCGUCGCACUGAGAAGGCAAUUGAAACCGUUUUCGUUUUCAUGGAGCUGAAGGAUGAUGAUUGUACGCGUCCGCUGCAGCACUCCAGUACACAGAUGCUACAGGCCUGCUACUUCAAUCGGUAACAUUCCAACGCGGAAGAUCGAAGAAGGCUGGCGGGUCGUUCUUGCGGGCAAACCUGACUUUUCUUUGUGAAGACAUGAGCGACUCUCACGAUCAGGAUUACAUGUUCUUCAUCAAAGUGGACGAUCUCCAAUCUAAGAAUGAGAGCACAUCGGAUUAGGUUAAGAUUAGCAUAACAAAUGUAUCCACAAAUUUUGUAAACAUGUAAUGAACCAAGUUUUGUAUAUUA